CCGGGCUGAGCGCACCUGAUCCCAGGAGCUGAGCAAUCUGGGGCCAGCCCAGUGUUUGGAUGGGAGACCACCUGGACAUCCCAGGGC
This is a ribosomal RNA of Anser brachyrhynchus (Pink-footed goose), 87 nucleotides long. NCBI's taxonomy places the organism in Eukaryota, Metazoa, Chordata, Aves, Anseriformes, Anatidae. The record is from Ensembl.